RNAcentral lists this ribosomal RNA (222 nucleotides) under uncultured bacterium. Its description in RNAcentral is "partial 16S ribosomal RNA". It matches the Rfam family "Bacterial small subunit ribosomal RNA", at positions 109 to 334 of the family's 1533-position model. The record is from RNAcentral.
AGUAAUGUAUGGGGAUCUGCCUGAUGGCGGGGGGUAACUACUGGAAACGGUAGCUAAUACCGCAUAAUGUCUGCGGACCAAAGCGGGGGACCUCCGGGCCUCGCGCCAUCAGAUGAACCCAUAUGGGAUUAGCUAGUAGGUGGGGUAACGGCUCACCUAGGCGACGAUCCCUAGCUGGUCUGAGAGGAUGACCAGCCACACUGGAACUGAGACACGGUCCAG